CCUGCGUUGUAUUAGCUAGUAGGUGAGGUAAUGGCUCACCUAGGCGACGAUACAUAGCCGACCUGAGAGGGUGAUCGGCCACACUGGGACUGAGACACGGCCCAGACUCCUACGGGAGGCAGCAGUGGGGAAUAUUGCACAAUGGGGGAAACCCUGAUGCAGCCAUGCCGCGUGUGUGAAGAAGGCCUUCGGGUUGUAAAGUACUUUCAGCGGGGAGGAAGGCGUUAAGGUUAAUAACCUUGGCGAUUGACGUUACCCGCAGAAG
RNAcentral lists this ribosomal RNA (265 nucleotides) under Mucochytrium quahogii. RNAcentral describes it as "labyrinthulid quahog parasite QPX partial Bacterial small subunit ribosomal RNA". It matches the Rfam family "Bacterial small subunit ribosomal RNA", at positions 230 to 487 of the family's 1533-position model. The record is from RNAcentral. Lineage: Eukaryota; Bigyra; Thraustochytrida; Thraustochytriidae.